UACGUAGGGUGCGAGCGUUGUCCGGAAUUAUUGGGCGGAAAGAGCUCGUAGGCGGUGUGUCACGUCGGCCGUGAAAACCUGCAGCUUAACUGUGGGCGUGCGGUCGAUACGGGCAUCACUGGAGUUCGGCAGGGGAGACUGGAAUUCCUGGUGUAGCGGUGAAAUGCGCAGAUAUCAGGAGGAACACCGGUGGCGAAGGCGGGUCUCUGGGCCGAUACUGACGCUGAGGAGCGAAAGCGUGGGGAGCAAACAGG
This 254-nucleotide ribosomal RNA is filed under the name uncultured bacterium. RNAcentral's name for it is "partial 16S ribosomal RNA". It matches the Rfam family "Bacterial small subunit ribosomal RNA", at positions 524 to 776 of the family's 1533-position model. The record is from RNAcentral.